Molecule: ribosomal RNA, 253 nt
Filed under: Deltaproteobacteria bacterium
Lineage: Bacteria; Pseudomonadati; Myxococcota; Myxococcia
Also listed under: 2 other names
Description: partial 16S ribosomal RNA
Rfam family: Bacterial small subunit ribosomal RNA
Source: RNAcentral
UACAGAGGUCCCAAGCGUUGUUCGGAUUCACUGGGCGUAAAGGGUGCGUAGGCGGUCGGGUAAGUCUGAUGUGAAAUCUCACAGCUUAACUGUGAAACUGCAUUGGAUACUAUUCGGCUUGAGAGUUGGAGGGGGGACUGGAAUUCUUGGUGUAGCAGUGAAAUGCGUAGAUAUCAAGAGGAACACCAGUGGCGAAGGCGAGUCCCUGGACAACUUCUGACGCUGAGGCACGAAAGCUAGGGGAGCAAACAGG